RNAcentral lists this ribosomal RNA (648 nucleotides) under Staphylococcus sp. Its description in RNAcentral is "bacterial SSU rRNA". It matches the Rfam family "Bacterial small subunit ribosomal RNA", at positions 197 to 832 of the family's 1533-position model. The record is from RNAcentral. Lineage: Bacteria; Bacillati; Bacillota; Bacilli; Caryophanales; Staphylococcaceae.
UAACUGAAAGAUGGUUUUGCUAUCACUUAUAGAUGGACCCGCGCCGUAUUAGCUAGUUGGUAAGGUAACGGCUUACCAAGGCGACGAUACGUAGCCGACCUGAGAGGGUGAUCGGCCACACUGGAACUGAGACACGGUCCAGACUCCUACGGGAGGCAGCAGUAGGGAAUCUUCCGCAAUGGGCGAAAGCCUGACGGAGCAACGCCGCGUGAGUGAUGAAGGUCUUCGGAUCGUAAAACUCUGUUAUUAGGGAAGAACAUACGUGUAAGUAACUGUGCACGUCUUGACGGUACCUAAUCAGAAAGCCACGGCUAACUACGUGCCAGCAGCCGCGGUAAUACGUAGGUGGCAAGCGUUAUCCGGAAUUAUUGGGCGUAAAGCGCGCGUAGGCGGUUUUUUAAGUCUGAUGUGAAAGCCCACGGCUCAACCGUGGAGGGUCAUUGGAAACUGGAAAACUUGAGUGCAGAAGAGGAAAGUGGAAUUCCAUGUGUAGCGGUGAAAUGCGCAGAGAUAUGGAGGAACACCAGUGGCGAAGGCGACUUUUCUGGUCUGUAACUGACGCUGAUGUGCGAAAGCGUGGGGAUCAAACAGGAUUAGAUACCCUGGUAGUCCACGCCGUAAACGAUGAGUGCUAAGUGUUAGGGGUUU